Molecule: long non-coding RNA, 928 nt
Organism: Wyeomyia smithii (pitcher-plant mosquito)
Lineage: Eukaryota; Metazoa; Arthropoda; Insecta; Diptera; Culicidae
Exons: 5
Source: RefSeq, a predicted model, not a curated record
CAAUCGCAAUCGUAAUCAAAAAGUUCUCGAUAGCGGCAAAAAUUUUAAAUUGAAUGUUCGUUCAACUGAAAAGGAAACAAUAAUGAACUCAGAGCUUCAAUCUAUUGUUGAAGCGCCUAAACUAGAGGGUUUCGAUAUUGCAGAACUUUUUGGAAUCCGAUAUUGAUUGUAUUUUCCAACAGACACCAUGAACUGAAUUUGCAUUCAAUGGACUCUUGAUUUGUUGCGAUUUCAUGGACAUGUUUCCAGGAGCUUCCGUACAAAUGAGCCAAUGGAGUUUGUUUCAAGACAAAAUUAUUUAAAAAUUCAAAUAUUUGCACCCAUCUCUAAACAAUCAGUUCAUUUGUUCAAUACUAAUUAUUAAAGAAAAAAUCCAUCCCGUGGAAUCAAAAGGACUAAAAAAGGAUAGCAGAAAAUAACUAAUCUGUUGGAAGGCAUUGUCGAAUGGAUAAAUCCGGAAGACGACAUUAAUAACUACGUCAUGAGCAACCAGGGCACACGAAAUCCGGUGAUGAUCAUUUAAGGACAUUUAUAUUCCGAGGGAGAAUGUUUUAUUCGCAUAGGACAGACAUUUUUUCCAGUAGGGCUUGAUAUUGAGUACGCAUUUUUCCCAAUGAUCGAGACACAUUAUUUUUUCAACUGCAAGUUUGAGUCAGCACAUGCCAACUCUUUUCCUAUUUAUACGGGAGCUAUUUUGAAUGUAUCUAAACCAUCAAAGGCCGUAAAUAAUUUUAUUGUUUUGUUAAAUUAUAAUUUAAGAUAUAAAAAUGACAAAAAUUUUAAUUGAUAACUAAAUUUUGGGAGAUUUUUUUCGGUCAUGCAUCGAAAGUACAAUAUUUCAAUUCGAGAUUUCGAUGCAUGCUCGAAAAAUCUUUCUCAGUCAUAUGUUUUCUUAUUUCCACGUACAAUUUACGCAACCAGAAAUCUA